GAUGAACGCUAGCUACAGGCUUAACACAUGCAAGUCGAGGGGCAGCAUGAACUUAGCUUGCUAAGUUUGAUGGCGACCGGCGCACGGGUGAGUAACACGUAUCCAACCUGCCGAUGACUCGGGGAUAGCCUUUCGAAAGAAAGAUUAAUACCCGAUGGCAUAGUUCUUCCGCAUGGUAGAACUAUUAAAGAAUUUCGGUCAUCGAUGGGGAUGCGUUCCAUUAGGUUGUUGGCGGGGUAACGGCCCACCAAGCCUUCCAUGGAUAGGGGUUCUGAGAGGAAGGUCCCCCACAUUGGAACUGAGACACGGUCCAAACUCCUACGGGAGGCAGCAGUGAGGAAUAUUGGUCAAUGGACGAGAGUCUGAACCAGCCAAGUAGCGUGAAGGAUGACUGCCCUAUGGGUUGUAAACUUCUUUUAUACGGGAAUAAAGUGAGGCACGUGUGCCUUUUUGUAUGUACCGUAUGAAUAAGGAUCGGCUAACUCCGUG
This 489-nucleotide ribosomal RNA is filed under the name uncultured bacterium. Its description in RNAcentral is "partial 16S ribosomal RNA". It matches the Rfam family "Bacterial small subunit ribosomal RNA", at positions 28 to 507 of the family's 1533-position model. The record is from RNAcentral.